Long non-coding RNA from Felis catus (domestic cat), 2303 nucleotides. RefSeq lists it as uncharacterized. NCBI's taxonomy places the organism in Eukaryota, Metazoa, Chordata, Mammalia, Carnivora, Felidae. The record is from RefSeq and is a predicted model, not a curated record. The transcript is spliced from 4 exons.
CGGAUGCUCAACCGACUGAGUCACCCAGGUGCCUGUUUGGGGUUUUUUUUGUUGGUUAUUCUUUAUCGUGGAAUAAUAUAUUCAUGUAAACAAUGAAAUGGAUGCCAAAAUUAUUUGGCAGGAAACGCAAGAAACAAUAGGCAAGUGACAAUUUUUUGUAAAGAGGAAUUCAUCAGGAUUAUCUAAGACACAAUUGUGACAGACCCACAGUUCCCAAGCACCAUGAACCAUGUUCCAUUGGAGGAAUGGUGACUAGCUGGCAUCAUUAUUCCCAGCGUGGAAAUAGAACAAACAACAGUCAGGUACUUACAGGAUUAAUGCUACGCAGUAUAAUACAGCUCACUUCAUUUUAUCUACAUUAAAUGGUGCACAAUUUACUAGGUUUUCUUAUACUUUUUUUUUUCCCUUAGCCUUUGUAGAAACCACUUCAGAUGGACUCAUUGACCGGUGAUCAUAAAUCAGCCCUUUAUUGGUGAAGAGGCCCUCUUUGCUGGAAAACGUAUGAAGCUAUCCUUCCUGUAAGAAGAGGAGUCUCCAUAGGGAAUGGCGAAGGCUAAACGUGGAAAUGCAAAGAUGUUAAUGGAAUCAAAAUGACUUUCUGAUUUCAAGUCUGACUACAAAACCAGACCAAUCACGAAGGCGUAGUAUUGUCACUGGGAUAGACAAAUAAACCAAUAGAAUAGGAUGGAGAGUUCCAGAAAUGAAUCCAAAUGUAUACGUCAUAAGAAGAAGAAGAAGAUUUUCCAAAGUCUAUUCAAAUGUUAAACCAGCACAGUAAAUUAGGGCAACAAACUAAAUUAUCUUGGAGCAAGAGACUUUAUAUUUAAUUCUACUUCAAGUUUUGACCUCGAGAGAAAUCAUGCACUCCAGUUUCCUCAAGGAUAUGGUUGUAAGUAUUUUGGCAGUUACACGUCAGGAUAUUUUUGGGUUUAAUAACGGUCAACCUCAGUACAAGGAGAAUGCCACGUGAAAAAUCGAUUUUUACAGUGGAUUGCAGGAUGCUGUAUCUCACCUGUGACCUAUGCCAUUUCUUUGUGCAUUCGGACACAAAACUUAACAAUCUAGUCCACACAGAGUGGCCGUUAACGCCCUGACUUUUGGGAAAGGUGGAAAGAUGUUAGCCUCAUAUUGCCUUAUUUUUUCUUGUGGUGAAGGGUGGAGUGAUGUGAGAAUAUGUGAUGUUUUUUUUCCGAGGUUUCUGGCAACUGUCACACCUCUAACCAUGAUCUCAACUGGAGGACCCGAGCCAAUGAUUUCCCCAUUGGUUUUUUUUUUUCUCCCCCCUCAAAUAUAUGGGCUUGUAGCAGAGCUUAAAUCAUGGCUUGGUAAUGUAUUGAAAGCCGUGACUUGAAUAGCUCUGAAAUGCUCUGGUUUUGCUAAAAGGAUAAUGAAAUAAAUGCAUAGCUACAGAUUCUUCAAAACAGAUGUCGGUGGAGGGCUUUCCUCAUUGCACAACUCCAGGCAAAAAAUGUACAUAGCUUACUAUCAGACAGAUGACCCUGAGUUUACAGCCAUUCAGCUUUCAAUGGCUUGAGAAAAAAUGGCACACGUAUCCGAUUUCUGUGCAAUCUUUUAGGUUCAUUCCUAACUUUUCUCCAGGAGGAAAAUUAUUUGCUAGUUAUUCAAGAGAACAUUACAUAAGCUUUCCGAUUUUAUGCAUCUUUAUACUUGACAUUUGUAGUAAAAUGAUUUGGUAGAAUGAUUUCUUCACACGUUUUGAACACGCACAAAUAAGUUACUAUUCAGAAACUUGAAAAUACUCAAAAUCCUGCAAAAGAAAUUAUAGAAAUAAAUGUCCAUUUGUACCAGUUACUGCGGUGACCUUUUCCUAUAGUUUUCCAAAUAACAAGUGACUUAACUUAUGUUUUCCAACAACAAAGACAAAAUAAAAAACUCCAGUUGAGCAAAGAGCUAUGCGACAGGGCCCAAAUGUCCUUCCAUACACUCCAACCCUGCCUGCUCCUGCCUCAGACCAUGUGUAUCCAGGUGGCCCUCCUGGUGGUGGAGUGCCUUGAUCUCAACAAAAGUCACAAUGGAAGAAUUUUAAUUCUUUUGUCAUUUAAUUCUUUUGCCAUAAUUGACAUUCGUCUUUGUAGCUAAUGCUUCAUCAUGUUUUUAAUUAUUUCCUUGGGUUAAGCAAAGAAAUGCUUGUUAGUAGAGGUAGAAUUGCUGUAUUUAAGGACUUUAUAAUUUUUUUAUGAUAUUACCUUUAUUUUGACUAAUUUCCCAUCAUAAAGUUAUAAUUUAUACCUUGUUGAUGCUCAGUGAGAAAUCUCUAACUCUGACCAGCACUGGGCUUUGUC